CCUAGAGGGCACGUAACAGUCGAGCGGAUGACGGGAGCUUGCUCCUUGAUUAGCGGCGGACGGGUGAGUAAUGCCUAGGAAUCUGCCUGGUAGUGGGGGACAACGUUUCGAAAGGAACGCUAAUACCGCAUACGUCCUACGGGAGAAAGCAGGGGACCUUCGGGCCUUGCGCUAUCAGAUGAGCCUAGGUCGGAUUAGCUAGUUGGUGGGGUAAUGGCUCACCAAGGCGACGAUCCGUAACUGGUCUGAGAGGAUGAUCAGUCACACUGGAACUGAGACACGGUCCAGACUCCUACGGGAGGCAGCAGUGGGGAAUAUUGGACAAUGGGCGAAAGCCUGAUCCAGCCAUGCCGCGUGUGUGAAGAAGGUCUUCGGAUUGUAAAGCACUUUAAGUUGGGAGGAAGGGCAGUAAGUUAAUACCUUGCUGUUUUGACGUUACCGACAGAAUAAGCACCGGCUAACUCUGUGCCAGCAGCCGCGGUAAUACAGAGGGUGCAAGCGUUAAUCGGAAUUACUGGGCGUAAAGCGCGCGUAGGUGGUUCGUUAAGUUGGAUGUGAAAGCCCCGGGCUCAACCUGGGAACUGCAUCCAAAACUGGCGAGCUAGAGUACGGUAGAGGGUGGUGGAAUUUCCUGUGUAGCGGUGAAAUGCGUAGAUAUAGGAAGGAACACCAGUGGCGAAGGCGACCACCUGGACUGAUACUGACACUGAGGUGCGAAAGCGUGGGGAGCAAACAGGAUUAGAUACCC
Molecule: ribosomal RNA, 748 nt
Filed under: Pseudomonas monteilii
Lineage: Bacteria; Pseudomonadati; Pseudomonadota; Gammaproteobacteria; Pseudomonadales; Pseudomonadaceae
Description: bacterial SSU rRNA
Rfam family: Bacterial small subunit ribosomal RNA
Source: RNAcentral